CCAAUAGCGUAUAUUAAAGUUGUUGCAGUUAAAAAGCUCGUAGUUGAAUUUCGGGGUCAGCUAGUUGGUCGUGCCACUGGUAUGCACUGGCUUUGCUGAUUCCUCCUUCUUGAAGAACUGUAAUGCUAUUAAUUUAGUGUUGCAGGGAAACAGGACUGUUACUUUGAAAAAAUUAGAGUGUUUAAAGCAGGCUAACGCUUGAAUACAUUAGCAUGGAAUAAUGAAAUAGGACGUUUGAUCCUAUUUUGUUGGUUUCUAGGAUUGACGUAAUGAUUAAUAGGGAUAGUUGGGGGCAUUAGUAUUCAAUUGUCAGAGGUGAAAUUCUUGGAUUUAUUGAAGACUGACUACUGCGAAAGCAUUUGCCAAGGAUGUUUUCAUUAAUCAAGAACGAAAGUUAGGGGAUCGAAGACGAUCAGAUACCGUCGUAGUCUUAACCAUAAACUAUGCCGACUAGGGAUCGGAUGAUGUUAAUUUUUUAAUGACUCAUUCGGCGCCUUACG
Molecule: ribosomal RNA, 500 nt
Filed under: uncultured Glomeromycotina
Lineage: Eukaryota; Fungi; Glomeromycota
Description: partial small subunit ribosomal RNA
Rfam family: Eukaryotic small subunit ribosomal RNA
Source: RNAcentral